Molecule: unclassified non-coding RNA, 246 nt
Filed under: Sordariomycetes sp.
Lineage: Eukaryota; Fungi; Ascomycota; Sordariomycetes
Description: partial contains 5.8S ribosomal RNA, internal transcribed spacer 2, and large subunit ribosomal RNA
Source: RNAcentral
CGCACAUUGCGCCCAUUAGUAUUCUAGUGGGCAUGCCUGUUCGAGCGUCAUUUCAACCCUCAAGCUCUGCUUGGUGUUGGGGCGUCUGCAGCUCCGGCUGCAGGCCCUGAAAAACAGUGGCGGGCUCGCUAUAACUCCGAGCGUAGUAAUUUCUCUCGCUUAGGAAGUGUAGCGGCACCCGGCCGUUAAACCCCCCAAUUUCUGAAUGUUGACCUCGGAUCAGGUAGGAAUACCCGCUGAACUUAA